This 321-nucleotide long non-coding RNA is filed under the name Elaeis guineensis (African oil palm). RNAcentral's name for it is "long non-coding RNA (EGUI_LNC067443)". The record is from RNAcentral. Lineage: Eukaryota; Viridiplantae; Streptophyta; Magnoliopsida; Arecales; Arecaceae.
GGAUAGCCAACAAAAUUGGAAUGUGGGUCGACAAGAUUGUAUCAUAUGUAAUUUCGAUCCAAAAUCCUUCAUCGGGUUAACCCAAGAUCUAUAAAUUAAGAAUCUAGAACCCUCAAUUGGGUCCAAUAGGCUACGUAAAGAGAACAUAGAGAAAGAAAGAAGAGAGAGAAAAAUAAAAGAUGAGAAAGAAAGAAGAGAGAAGAGAGAGAAAGGAGGGAAGAGAGAGAGAGAGCAAUCCCUCUCUUCUCUUUUCUUCUCCAACAUAGGGAACACCCUCCCCAUUUCUCUCCUCCUAAUGGUGACGGCAAAAGAUCCGGGGCC